RNAcentral lists this long non-coding RNA (1929 nucleotides) under Macaca mulatta (Rhesus monkey). Its description in RNAcentral is "lncRNA (ENSMMUG00000060200.1)". Lineage: Eukaryota; Metazoa; Chordata; Mammalia; Primates; Cercopithecidae. The record is from RNAcentral.
GCGUGUGCACGCUCUUUUCCAAACAAUCUGAGCUCCCUCUGGCAGGUUAGAAGAGCUGUCUAAUCCCAUGACCUGUCCUCCCACACAGGAGAAAUUCUGCACCAUAAGUUGGGGUGAAGGAAGUUGGUGAACACAUACUCUGGCCAAAAUAAUACUGAUUUUGCUGUUUUUAUUAAGAUUCAAUUUAGAUUCUCUUACACUAAAUGCUUCUUAAUGUUCAUAUCCUUUGGUCAAUUUCCAGAGUCUUUAAAUGAUUGUUUUUGGCAACUUUGUCCAGUGUUAUCAUUGCUUUUCAGAUUCGCUGAAAUGUUUUAAUGUCAAUAUAUGUGGUAUAUUUUUAUGUACUUUCUAUGUGAAUUUGAAAAUAAUCUGUAUAUAGCAUUUGGUACAUACACGCUUAGGAGUAUAUGUCUUUUUGAUGUAUUGACUCUUUUUCAUUAUGAAAAACUUAUCUCCAGUAAUAUUACUUAUUUGUAAAGUUUCCUUUAUCUGAUAUUAAUGUAGCCACUGCAGCUUUCUUGCCUGGUGUAUUUUUUUUCAUCCUUAUAUUUUUAACCUAUGUUUUCAUAUUUAAAAUGCAUUUCUUAUGGACAGGGGUCAAAAGUCUUACUUAUUUAUCCAGUUUAGAAAUAUGCAUUUAAUGUAAUUACUGAAGUACUGGAUUUAAGUCUACCACCUUGCUGCUUUUUGUUUUUGGCCCAUCUGUUCUUUUCCUUUUAUUCCUCUUUACUUGCCUUUCUUAGUAUAUUUUUCUCUCUCCUAAUGGUAACUGAGUAGAGAGAUGUCAGAACUUAGAUCUUUAAGAUUUGUGGAACUUUAAAAAAUAUUUUAUUUUAUUUUAUUUUAUUUUAUUUGAGACAGAGUCUUGCUCUGUUGCCCAAACUGGAGUGCAGUGGUGCAAAAUUUGUAGAACUUGAGUGGAAAAUCCUAAAUAAGAAUACCACAGAGGGAAGCCCAAAAUUCUGCAUUUGAAAGACAUUUGCAUGCAGAAUAGGGGUCCCUCUUUGAGUUUUCAUCUUUUAGGGGGAUUUUUCUCCUCAAUAGCAACUCAUUCUUUCAGCACCAAACUCCAACCUCCGUCUUCUCUUCCUGCUGACCACAUGGGCACUUAUGGCACAAAUGUCUACCAGACAUAUGGUGCCUUCAGCCAGUUUACACAUGAAUUUAAUGGAAAUGAGCUGUUCUCUGUGGACCUGAGGAAAAAGGGAGACUGUGUGGAGGCUGCCUAAGUUCAGCAAUUUUACCAGGUUUGAAACACAGAAUGCCUUGAGAAACAUAAUUGUGGCCAAAAGAAAUUUAGACAUCUUGAUUAAAGAAUCUAACUUUACACCCACCACAAACGGUAAGUGUCUACAGUUCUAAUUGUCGUCACUCCAUGUAGCUCACAUUCCAGGUCUCAUCUCUGCCUUCUCCAGGGAUAGCUUCUCUUCCCAUUUCACUAUAAAUUCUUCCUCCUUCCCAUUAUAUUUCCUGGAAAAUACUAAUUUCACAUCAUAUUCAUUUAAUCUUUAAACAUCUUUUCCUGAGGUUCCAUGAGAUACUCAUUGUAUUCCUAUAUAAGAAUGUUCCCAAUAUAGGAGGUUCCAAGAUGGCCCAAUAGGAAUAGCUGCAGUCUGCAGCUCCCAGCAUGAGCCACGCAGAAGACAGGUGAUUUCUGCAUUUCCAACUGAGGUAGCAAGUUCAUCUCACUGGGGCUUGUCAGACAGUAGGUGCAGCCCCUGGAGCUGGGCACAGCAUCUCCUCACCCAGGAAGCACAAAUGGGUUGGGAAAUUCCCUUUCCUAGCAAAGGGAAGCUGUGACAGACAGUACCUGGAAAUCGGGACACUCCCACCUUAAUACUGUACUUUUCCAAUGGCCUUAGAAAAUGGCACACUAAGAGAUUAUAUACUGCAACUGGCUCGGAGGGACCCAAGCCCAUGGAGCCUCAC